This is a small nuclear RNA of Cebus imitator (Panamanian white-faced capuchin), 162 nucleotides long. Its record names the gene U1. It matches the Rfam family "U1 spliceosomal RNA". Rfam says of the family: U1 is a small nuclear RNA (snRNA) component of the spliceosome (involved in pre-mRNA splicing). NCBI's taxonomy places the organism in Eukaryota, Metazoa, Chordata, Mammalia, Primates, Cebidae. The record is from Ensembl.
GAAAGAACCUGGCAGGGGAGAUACCAUGAUCACAAAGGUGGUUUUCCCAGAGAGAGGCUUAUCCAUUGCACUCCGGAUGUGCUGACCCCUGUGAUUUCCCCAAAUGUGGGAAACUCGACUGCAUAAUUUGUGGUAGUGGGAGACUGCAUUGGCACUUUCCCU